Long non-coding RNA from Cydia splendana, 1195 nucleotides. RefSeq lists it as uncharacterized. The transcript has 2 exons. The record is from RefSeq and is a predicted model, not a curated record. Lineage: Eukaryota; Metazoa; Arthropoda; Insecta; Lepidoptera; Tortricidae.
GAGUAUGUAUCCAUAUAGCAUCCAACUCCAACCAUAACUUGGCUGAAAUCAGGGGAGCAAAAAUACAAAUGUCAUCAUGUGAUUCCUAUUUAGAUACGGCUGUGGGAUACGUAAUGUACGAAGGAGAUUGAUUUUGUUAAGGCACUUGGGCCCUGAACAAAGUUGAGCAUUUUGUAUCGAAACGAACGUCAUAUUAAUCGUCAUAAUACUUUACGACAGUAAAUAAUGCCUGGGAACAGAGUAAAUAACAAACCAUACACUUCUCUUCUGGUUCGUCAACAAGAAGCCAUCAUUGUCAGCUGCUCGUGCAGAACAUGAUGAACAUACAUAUAUGUAUAGUUACUUUUUUUUGGGAAACAUAUACAUAUAUUUCCUAAAUUAAUAAAAAAGUAGGUAAACAAAAACAUGUUUUAUUAUUCACAACUAUUAACUUAAGUCUUGUCCACCAUGAUAUCAGCAGCUUGAACUGCAACAUGUACCUGGAAAUUAGAAAUUAUAUCUUUUUAAAGCAGUUUCAGGCUGAAUUUUGAGUAUGACUAUGUAUUCUUGUAUAGUGUUUCUUUCUAGUAGGCACCAUCUCUGUUUAACGGUUUGCCUUUAUAUACUCUGGCUACAUUACCACAGAAAACACAUAGGUCCCCGCGACCCUACCUACAAAGUGAGCUUUUAAAUAAUUGUAGUAAAAUAAUAUUAAUUUUAUACUUACAUCGACGUGAUCCUCACAGCAAUACUGUGUGUAAGUAGGUAGGUAUUCCAAGUUCAAUUCACGGCACCAUGUUUCACGUCGUAGGUCUUCGCGGAUUCGAACAAUUAUUUUUGUGAAUCAUUCCCACACGUAGGAACAAGGUCUUUGAUAUAUUAAGCAACGAAAACUACUGUUUAGGUAUCAAUUAUAAAUCAAAUCAUAACAAACCAGCGCAGCGGUUUAACUGAAAAAUUUCAUUAUGACAAUGAUAACUUUGACAAUUACGUGAGUGACGGAUUGAUUUACUAUGGUCCGAUAACUUUUAUUAUGCGAUGACUUUACAUUCAGCCAACGAGAAAGGUCAAACUAAGGUCAUAAGGAUAUUUGUUGAAAUAUCUUCAAUCCUCAAUUAUUAUAUCGCAGCAAAUGUCGGAAACUGUUUGAAAACCUUAUAUCUCGAAAUGGUUUUCGAAAUAGAACAUUUAAAAAAAAAUGAACAAUCCUAAUUCU